CCCUUAGAUGUCCUGGGCCGCACGCGCGUUACACUGAUGCAUUCAACGAGCUUAUAACCUUGGCCGAGAGGCCUGGGCAAUCUUGUUAACGUGCAUCGUGAUAGGGAUAGAUUAUUGAAAUUAUUAAUCUUGAACGAGGAAUUCCUAGUAAACGCAGAUCAUCAAUCUGCAUUGAUUACGUCCCUGCCCUUUGUACACACCGCCCGUCGCACCUACCGAUUGGAUGGUCCGGUGAAGCCUCGGGAUUGUGGUUCUUGCCGCUUUAUUGUGGCGUGACCGCGAGAACUUGUCUAAACCUUAUCAUCUAGAGUAAGGUGAAGUCGUAACA
RNAcentral lists this ribosomal RNA (328 nucleotides) under uncultured eukaryote. RNAcentral describes it as "partial 18S ribosomal RNA". It matches the Rfam family "Eukaryotic small subunit ribosomal RNA", at positions 1470 to 1796 of the family's 1831-position model. The record is from RNAcentral.